This 481-nucleotide ribosomal RNA is filed under the name uncultured organism. Its description in RNAcentral is "partial 16S ribosomal RNA". It matches the Rfam family "Bacterial small subunit ribosomal RNA", at positions 329 to 801 of the family's 1533-position model. The record is from RNAcentral.
ACGUACACUCCUACGGGAGGCAGCAGUGGGGAAUUUUGGACAAUGGGCGAAAGCCUGAUCCAGCCAUGCCGCGUGCAGGAUGAAGGCCUUCGGGUUGUAAACUGCUUUUGUACGGAACGAAACGGCCUUUUCUAAUAAAGAGGGCUAAUGACGGUACCGUAAGAAUAAGCACCGGCUAACUACGUGCCAGCAGCCGCGGUAAUACGUAGGGUGCAAGCGUUAAUCGGAAUUACUGGGCGUAAAGCGUGCGCAGGCGGUUAUGUAAGACAGUUGUGAAAUCCCCGGGCUCAACCUGGGAACUGCAGCUGUGACUGCAUAGCUAGAGUACGGUAGAGGGGGAUGGAAUUCCGCGUGUAGCAGUGAAAUGCGUAGAUAUGCGGAGGAACACCGAUGGCGAAGGCAAUCCCCUGGACCUGUACUGACGCUCAUGCACGAAAGCGUGGGGAGCAAACAGGAUUAGAAACCCUUGUAGUCCCAUGAU